Molecule: long non-coding RNA, 3847 nt
Organism: Brassica napus (rape)
Lineage: Eukaryota; Viridiplantae; Streptophyta; Magnoliopsida; Brassicales; Brassicaceae
Exons: 4
Source: RefSeq, a predicted model, not a curated record
UUACGUUUCUAUAAAGACUUUGCCUUCUUUCAAUUUUAAUCUUCAGACUUUUGUCUUUUUAUGUUUAAGUUAUUCUGAUACAAUUUUCGUUAUAUGUUUUUACUUAUCCCUUUAAGCAUCUACUUAUCCUAAUAUGAUCUUUUAUAUGUUUUUCCUUUCACUUUAGGCAGUUCACUUGAGAAACAUACGAUUAGGAAUGUUGAUAACUUACGAUUUUCCUUGAACUUGGGGAUAAACAUCUGAGAAUGUAUGCAUAAUCUAUUAGUUAUACCCGUAUAAUCUUCCCUUACUGAUGUGACGAUUCUAUUUUCAUGUCCCAAGUUAUUUUCAUGAUUUUUUUUUUGAGUUUUUUUAUUAAGUAGCAAUUAUAAGAAUGAUAUAUGGCUGAUUUUAGUAUCGAAGAGUUGAAUAGAUUUAUAUCAUAUUAUUUUUGAGAAUAUCUAUUAACCAUAUUUGUAAAAUCAUUGCUUUAAUAAAAGGCAAGUAUUCACGAGAAUCAAGCCCUUCUUCUUCUCUCUACAAAAUUCCUAAUAUGCCUUCUCUAAAACACACAAAAAAAGAUCUGCACAUUUUUUCGAGACCCAUAACUGUUCACGCAACCAGAUCUCGAAAUCUUCUUAAAAGUGUAAGUUUUUUAAAUCACCUAACCCUCUCCAUAAGAAGUUCCAUAUUCUAAGAUGUUUAUGUUUUAUUGAUCGCAUACUAAGGUUUGGAUCUUGGACGAAAUGGGGAAACCACCUUCGACAAGCAGUCUGGACACCGGAGGUAAGACAAAUAAUUAUUUAGCUGUUUCAAAGGAAUGAUUUUACAUAUUUAGUCUGAUUGACUAAGGAUCCUAGACUACUUAUGCUACGUACUUUUAUAUCUGCGUAAGAACAAAAUUACACACAGGAGGUCUUACAAAUCACUGCAUUUUAAAUACAAUUGUGUAGUAUUACUCACAACACGUUUUGAUGAGAUGAACCCCUGGAUCACAGUGCAUAAACCAUUACUCAAUCAAUAAGUAUACGUUCCUUCUUCUUAUAUUGACCAUCUGUAACAACCAAUUUUUUACAUUUGGCAUUUUGGCUUCAUUGGGGUUAAGAAACAUUGAUUUCUUAUUCACUUAUAUUAUUUUUGGUCUAAACAAAAAUUAUUAAACAUGUUAUAAAAUUCAUUUAUAUGUUUAUGUAACUGAUCUAAAAUUGUAUUUGAAAGAUAUACGAUUUUGAAGAUGUAGUCCCGUGCAAGGGUGGAGUCGUUGAUUUUUCACUUUAUAACUCUAUGUCUUACAAUAUUAGAAUUAUCUCUGUUCUUACGAUCAAAAAUAAACUAUAAUAGCUUUGUGAUAUUUAAUAUUGUAACAAUCUCUGUGAAGUAACAAUCUUUAUGAAGUAACAAUAUUUAAUAAACUAUAUUGUAACAAUCAACCAAUUGAUGAUCAAUGUGAAGUAACGUACGAAAAGAAACAAUAAAAAAUAAACUGCUUCAUGUUGGCUCAUAUACACACUACUCAUCAUCGUAAUAUUAGAGGUUGAUAUCUUAAGACAGUUCUGUUUCCUGUGUUUGUAAAGAAUCACGAAAGUGGAGUUAUUAUAUGUUUAUUUAUAAUUUAUAUUUAUGGAAACUACUAAUUUAUUCAUCUAAGAUUUAUAUAAAAAUAAUUAUCUUAUUAGUUUAUAUAUAAUUAAUAUAUAUGUAAAUAUUUCAUUUUUUAUUAUUCAGUCCUAAUUUCUAUAGUUCUGUAUCAAAUAAUAAUUUAAAAAUUACUAAUUCCUCCAUUUUGUUUUAAAACACAGUUGUGAAUCUCAUUAUACUUUAAGUUUUUCAGAAAACAAUGCAAAAUAUUAAUAUACUUUGCAUUAUACUUUAAGUUUUUCAGAAAACAAUGCAAAGUAUCUGUCAUAGCUUCAAUAAGUCAUUCAUAUCUAUGGGAUAGCUGCCACAAGUUCUCUUUGAAAACAAAUAUGCGAGUCAAUCAAGACGAGAAGGAGUUCUCUAAGUGGCUUCUCAAAGUCGGGGAAGGUCGCACACAAUCAGUACAAGAAGAUGAGGAUGAUGGCUACCAUGAACAGAUGAUAAUUGUCGACAACUCACUGGUUCAAGAGAUUAAGGAUGACUCUUUAAAACAAGUUGUUGAUGCCGCAUAUGGAGAAGUCAACAAGAUAAAGGCCUCCCAAAGCUCCUACAUUGAUAGAGCUAUACGUACACCUCGAAAUGAAACAGUCGAUGAGAUCAAUGCAUACACAAUCUCCAAAACUGACGGGAAGUCAAGAGACUACUACAGUUACGAUAGCUUUGAGAUUUCAGACACUCAAUCUGAUCAAAAUGAUACAUUAUAUGUGAUUGAGUAUCUCAAUUCCUUGAAAUUUCCAGGAUUGCCUUCUCAUAAGCUCACUCUCAAGUUGGGGCCCCGGUUAUGCUUCUGCGAAACAUAAAUCAGAGAAAAGGAUUAUGUAAUGGUACCCGUAUGAUCCUAACCUACAUAGGCGAACGAGUGCUUAAGGCAGAAAUAAUCACUAGCUCACACAUUGGAAAAGAAGUAUUGAUACCAAGGAUUAUACUCUUGCAUGAUGAAACAAAGCUACCGUUCACUUUACGUCGACAACAAUUCCCUAUUAGAUUGUGUUAUGCAAUGGCAAUCAACAAAAGUCAGGGGAAAAGUUUAAAAGAGAUUCUCCUAUAUCUUCCUAAACCGUCUUCGCCCAUGGUCAACUCUAUGUAGCACUCUCAUGUGUAACAAGCAGAGCAUGACUAAAAAUCAUUAAAGGCGAAGAUUCACACCCACAAAAAGUGAAGAACAUAGUCUACAAAGAAAUCUUCAACCGCCUUCGUUCCCAUGAGAUAUUUUAGCUAUCAACUGAAGAAGUCAUAGCAAAAACUCCUACCCUGAUGAUGGAUAUCUCACUACUAUGAAGCUCCCCAGCUCGGUAAAUCUCAUCACAUCUACAUUUCCUCUUCGUAAAAAUGUCCACCAUCGUAUCUACGAUUUCCAUUUUUCUGUCCUAAGACCUUAGUAUCUGUUCUUGGUAACGAUAAUAACUUUCCACUGCUUCUGCACAUGAGUUAUACCAAACUUUUAUUCCAUAACUGAUCUACUUUACUCUAGGCAACCACAAAAGUUUGACAAAUCAAACAAUAAACAGAUCAAACAUCACCACAUAUGCGUUAGAAUUUAAAUAAUAUAAGCUACUGCUGAGCAAAACAAGUUGAUUACAUAAGCUACUGAUAAAUGCAAAAAUAAACGACAUAACAAACAGGAUUUAAUAUAAAAGUUGAUGCGCAUGAACCUCCAACAUUCCCAUUGUUUUGGAAAAUACAACACUCUCAUUCCAAAUUCUUAUUAUGAUGUUUACUAACUUUAGGAUUGCUAAAAUCCAGUUGCAACAACAAAGGUAGUAAUUUGCAUACUGCUAAGCAGGUACCGAGAUUACAUUAAACCCACCCCUUUAUUUAAUAUUUUGAGUGAGUCCAGCUUAUUUACACUCACACAUUACAUACAGGUCAAAAAGGGUUCGCUUGACCCUAAUGGACAAUGCAUCUGCUCUGUUUAGAGAGUUACAUUGCAGGACAGGCUUGAAACACGAAGUCGUAAUCAUUACAAGCAUCAAUCCCAGAGUGUGCAAAGGAAAGCUGAUACUCACCUCAACACCUGCUACCCGCUUUUACUGUGACAGUACUAUUGAUCUUAUACGAAGCUUCAAUCAGAGGAACAAAGUUAGUAAUCACUCAUGAGUGAUCAACUAGGCUUUGGUCUAUAGUCUAUAACAAUAAUUCAUUUUCAUGGUUUAAAAAGAAGUUUGUUGCUUUUUAUGAAACUUUAUAAAACAUUCUAUGAAAAAGAUUUAUAAAACUUUUAUCUACGCCA